GUGGGGCAUGAGGUAGUGGGGUGGGUCUUCUGUGCAUGAAAUAGAGAAAAGUUGGUUCCUCUUGGGUGUGAGUUUUUGGUGUGGGUACCCUAGGAUUCUAUCUAGAGUUUUAUGGGAAGAGAGAAAAGAGAGUUAACAGAGUCUUCUUCUCUUCUUCUUCCACCACCUUACCUCCUCCUAAGUGUCCUUCUCUUUCCUGAAAGAGUUUGAGAGAAUCGAAGAAGGAGAGAGAUCGACCAUCAAGAAGGUUUCC
This 253-nucleotide long non-coding RNA is filed under the name Elaeis guineensis (African oil palm). RNAcentral describes it as "long non-coding RNA (EGUI_LNC070738)". Lineage: Eukaryota; Viridiplantae; Streptophyta; Magnoliopsida; Arecales; Arecaceae. The record is from RNAcentral.